RNAcentral lists this ribosomal RNA (393 nucleotides) under uncultured bacterium. RNAcentral describes it as "partial 16S ribosomal RNA". It matches the Rfam family "Bacterial small subunit ribosomal RNA", at positions 523 to 918 of the family's 1533-position model. The record is from RNAcentral.
AUACGGAGGACGCGAGCGUUAUCCGGAUUCAUUGGGUUUAAAGGGUGCGCAGGCGGCCGUGCAAGUCAGCGGUGAAAGCCCGGGGCUCAACCCCGGAAGUGCCGUUGAUACUGCGUGGCUGGAAUGCGGUCGAGGCGGGCGGACAGGGGCGUGGAGCGGGGGAAUGCGUAGAUAUGCCACAGAACGCCGAUAGCGGAGGCAGCUCGCCAGGCCUGCAUUGACGCUCGGGCACGAAAGCGUGGGGAUCGAACAGGAUUAGAUACCCUGGUAGUCCACGCCGUAAACGAUGGGCGCUCGUCGUCGGCGGCAGACAGUCGGCGGCCAAGCGAAAGCGAUAAGCGCCCCACCUGGGGAGUACGGUCGCAAGGCUGAAACUCAAAUGAAUUGACGGGG